GAUGAACGCUGGCGGCGUGCCUAAUACAUGCAAGUCGAGCGAACAGACGAGGAGCUUGCUCCCCUGACGUUAGCGGCGGACGGGUGAGUAACACGUGGAUAACCUACCUAUAAGACUGGGAUAACUUCGGGAAACCGGAGCUAAUACCGGAGAAUAUAUUGAACCGCAUGGUUCAAUAGUGAAUGACGCCUUUGCUGUCUCUUAUAGAUGGAUCCGCGCCGCAUUAGCUAGUUGGUAAGGUAACGGCUUACCAAGGCAACGAUGCGUAGCCGACCUGAGAGGGUGAUCGGCCACACUGGAACUGAGACACGGUCCAGACUCCUACGGGAGGCAGCAGUAGGGAAUCUUCCGCAAUGGGCGAAAGCCUGACGGAGCAACGCCGCGUGAGUGAUGAAGGUCUUCGGAUUGUAAAACUCUGUUAUUAGGGAAGAACAAAUGUGUAAGUAACUAUGCACGUCUUGACGGUACCUAAUCAGAAAGCCACGGCUAACUACGUG
RNAcentral lists this ribosomal RNA (497 nucleotides) under uncultured bacterium. RNAcentral's name for it is "partial 16S ribosomal RNA". It matches the Rfam family "Bacterial small subunit ribosomal RNA", at positions 28 to 507 of the family's 1533-position model. The record is from RNAcentral.